GAUGUUAUAGUAUAAGGAGUAUAGCAACCUGCAAAGUUGAGGGUGUUGGUGGGAUUCUGAUUGGCAUCU
RNAcentral lists this transfer RNA (69 nucleotides) under Thoosa mismalolli. RNAcentral describes it as "tRNA-Cys". It matches the Rfam family "tRNA". Rfam says of the family: Transfer RNA (tRNA) molecules are approximately 80 nucleotides in length. Their secondary structure includes four short double-helical elements and three loops (D, anti-codon, and T loops). The record is from RNAcentral. Lineage: Eukaryota; Metazoa; Porifera; Demospongiae; Tetractinellida; Thoosidae.